GACAGAGAACACCCCAAUGAUUGCCGGCCUUGGGAAGGCCGCGGAGCUGGUGACCCAGAACUGCGAGGCUUAUGAGGCCCACAUGAGGGACGUCCGCGACUACCUGGAGGAGAGGCUGGAAGCUGAAUUCGGUCAGAAGAGAAUCCAUCUGAAUAGCCAGUUUCCAGGCACCCAGCGGCUUCCCAACACCUGCAACUUCUCCAUCCGGGGACCCCGGCUUCAAGAGAAACCCAGCAGUCGUGUUUGGCCCAUGAAGAAGAACCCGUGGGUAACCGUCAUGAUGGCUGCGUUCAUGAGAACCUGGGCUGAAAUGCGCUCUUGUGGGCAGUGAAGCCUUGGUCUCCUUGACCAUCUCAGAUUCCUCACCAUGGAAAGGAGAGUUCUCUGUCCACGUUCCCCUUGUUCUGGGGUCAGACUUUGUGUCCAAUGACUACCUGUGUUACUUUAAAUGAGACAGAGGUUCUCAUUUUAUUUAUUUAUUUUUUGAUUCAGGGUCUCACUCUGUCAUCACCCGGGCUGGAGUGCUGUGGCGCAAUCACAGCCCACUGUAGCCUUGACCUUCUGGGUUUAAGUGAUCCUCCUGCCUCAGCCUCUCUAGUAGCUGGGACUGCAGGCACGCACCACCACACCUGGAUAACUUUUUUAUUUUUGAGAUGGAGUUUCACUCUUGUUGCCCAGGCUUGAGUACAGUGGUGUGAUCUCAGCUCACCGCAACCUCCGCCUCCCGGGUUCAAGCGAUUCUCCUGCCUCAGCCUCCAGAGUAGCUGGGAUUACAGGUGCCUGCCACCACACUGGGCUAAUUUUUGUAUUCUAAGUAGACACGGGGUUUUGCCAUGUUGGCAAGGCUGGUCUCGAACUCCUGACCUCAGGUGAUCCACCCGCCUCGGCUCCCCAAAGUGCUGGGAUUACAGG
This 912-nucleotide small RNA is filed under the name Pongo abelii (Sumatran orangutan). Its description in RNAcentral is "retained intron". Lineage: Eukaryota; Metazoa; Chordata; Mammalia; Primates; Hominidae. The record is from RNAcentral.